GUCCUCUUCGUCUAGCGGUUAGGACACCGGGUUUUCAUCCCGGCAACACGGGUUCGAUUCCCGUAGAGGAUG
This 72-nucleotide transfer RNA is filed under the name Spirochaetaceae bacterium. RNAcentral describes it as "tRNA-Glu". It matches the Rfam family "tRNA". Rfam says of the family: Transfer RNA (tRNA) molecules are approximately 80 nucleotides in length. Their secondary structure includes four short double-helical elements and three loops (D, anti-codon, and T loops). The record is from RNAcentral. Lineage: Bacteria; Pseudomonadati; Spirochaetota; Spirochaetia; Spirochaetales; Spirochaetaceae.